UGGGGAAUAUUGCACAAUGGGCGCAAGCCUGAUGCAGCCAUGCCGCGUGUGUGAAGAAGGCCUUCGGGUUGUAAAGUACUUUCAGCGGGGAGGAAGGGAGUAAAGUUAAUACCUUUGCUCAUUGACGUUACCCGCAGAAGAAGCACCGGCUAACUCCGUGCCAGCAGCCGCGGUAAUACGGAGGGUGCAAGCGUUAAUCGGAAUUACUGGGCGUAAAGCGCACGCAGGCGGUUUGUUAAGUCAGAUGUGAAAUCCCCGGGCUCAACCUGGGAACUGCAUCUGAUACUGGCAAGCUGGAGUCUCGUAGAGAGGGGUAGAAUUCCAGGUGUAGCGGUGAAAUGCGUAGAGAUCUGGAGGAAUACCGGUGGCGAAGGCGGCCCCCUGGACGAAGACUGACGAUCAGGUGCGAAAGCGUGGGGAGCAAACAGG
RNAcentral lists this ribosomal RNA (429 nucleotides) under Chloroflexota bacterium. RNAcentral describes it as "Chloroflexi bacterium partial 16S ribosomal RNA". It matches the Rfam family "Bacterial small subunit ribosomal RNA", at positions 355 to 776 of the family's 1533-position model. The record is from RNAcentral. Lineage: Bacteria; Bacillati; Chloroflexota.